AGCCAGCGUGGCAAGCUCGAUACCUCAACAGGCCACAACGGCUUCUCCUCUGGCUCGGCCUCUCUACCUCCUCAAUCAUGUCCUUGUAAUUGUAGUAAAUCUUUUUGUUUCUCCAUUUUGUUACAUAUUCUUGUUAAUCAAGAAAAAGCUCUAUAACUCAAGUCAUAACCAUGUAAUUGUAAAUCUUUUCUUAUCGUAAUUAGUUUAUUAGCUAAAGGUACAAAAAUGUGAUGAUGUCUUAAAGCAAACAUUCUAUCUAAUUAAUUGCGUGAAAAAACUUGUUUCGUUAGUCCACUAUCGUGUAUAAAUCAAAACACUAGGAACUUUGAUUGGAUAAGGUUUGUUUCAUGUUGCUUGUAGUUCAAACGAUGCCGUUUUGCUUUCAUUCUCCAUUACCCAAUAUAAAAACAGAGAGACAAAAAAGUGCUUCGAAAAUACGAAAGGCUUAGAAAUGGUGGUGACGUCUUUCUCUUCACCGCCGCCUAUCUUCUUCCUCCCUGGAGCUGAUCCUCACCUUUCUUCUUCCAAUGGACGCCUCGCGAUUCCUUCCUCUUCUCUCGCGUAAGCCUUUCUCACAAAUCUCUUUUUGAAUUUGACGUUGCGUAUUUAGUGUUCUUGUAAUUUUCGCAAUCCGUGUUCUGGGUUUGUGAUUUCUGUUGCUACUUAUCACUAAAUUCUCUGUUUUUUCUUCUUAACUUCUGAAACCAGAACUUCGCAAUCCGUGUUCUAGCGUAAUUGCCACCAGUCUCCAAUUGUGUGACUUGAUUUCUUCUCUGUUGUAUCUAUGGUUUUUAUUAU
RNAcentral lists this long non-coding RNA (798 nucleotides) under Capsella grandiflora. RNAcentral's name for it is "long non-coding RNA (CGRA_LNC000956)". Lineage: Eukaryota; Viridiplantae; Streptophyta; Magnoliopsida; Brassicales; Brassicaceae. The record is from RNAcentral.